UACUGGGGAUGCGAGCGUUAUCCGGAUUUAUUGGGUUUAAAGGGUGCGUAGGCGGGAUGCCAAGUCAGCGGUAAAAAUGCGGUGCUCAACGCCGUCGAGCCGUUGAAACUGGCGUUCUUGAGUGGGCGAGAAGUAUGCGGAAUGCGUGGUGUAGCGGUGAAAUGCAUAGAUAUCACGCAGAACUCCGAUUGCGAAGGCAGCAUACCGGCGCCCUACUGACGCUGAGGCACGAAAGCGUGGGUAUCGAACAGG
This 252-nucleotide ribosomal RNA is filed under the name uncultured bacterium. RNAcentral describes it as "partial 16S ribosomal RNA". It matches the Rfam family "Bacterial small subunit ribosomal RNA", at positions 524 to 776 of the family's 1533-position model. The record is from RNAcentral.